Molecule: ribosomal RNA, 400 nt
Filed under: uncultured bacterium
Lineage: Bacteria
Description: bacterial SSU rRNA
Rfam family: Bacterial small subunit ribosomal RNA
Source: RNAcentral
CAACCCUGAUCCAGCCAUGCCGCGUGAGUGAUGAAGGCCUUAGGGGUCGUAAAGCUCUUUCGCCUGUGAUGAUAAUGACAGUAGCAGGUAAAGAAACCCCGGCUAACUCCGUGCCAGCAGCCGCGGUAAUACGGAGGGGGUUAGCGUUGUUCGGAAUUACUGGGCGUAAAGCGCGCGUAGGCGGAUUAGUCAGUUAGAGGUGAAAUCCCCAGGCUCAACCCCUGGAACUGCCUUUAAUACUGCUAGUCUUGAGUUCGAGAGAGGUGAGUGGAAUUCCGAGUGUAGAGGUGAAAUUCGUAGAUAUUCGGAGGAACACCAGUGGCGAAGGCGGCUCACUGGCUCGAUACUGACGCUGAGGUGCGAAAGUGUGGGGAGCAAACAGGAUUAGAUACCCUGGUAG